RNAcentral lists this long non-coding RNA (9724 nucleotides) under Mytilus galloprovincialis (Mediterranean mussel). The record is from RNAcentral. Lineage: Eukaryota; Metazoa; Mollusca; Bivalvia; Mytilida; Mytilidae.
CUGUCUGAUGUACAGGUAAUUUUUCAGGGCGUUCUAUUUUAUGAUCUUGAUGGAGAUGCGAUCUUGACUGGGUUGGAUUAAGAGAAUGUGUGUGACAAGUUAAAGGAUGUGUGUAAAAGUAAGGUGUAAAAAGUGCCAAAAAAUGACAUGGGCAGGUAAGAAUAAAUUAAUGUUGCACAUAAGUUUGUAAAUCAUGUAUAAACUGUACACCACUGUUUUUUUUUUAUUAAUUACAAUACGAUUAUGUUGUUUACAAUAUUAACACUGUUAAGGCCCAAUAUGGAAAUCAAAUUAUUAACCGGUUUAAUGCCAGUCUUGUGAAGUUAAAAAAAAAUGAAAAAAAAAUUGGAAAGAAACGAAAUCGUCGAUUAAAGUUCAAUCGAAGUCUGUCCUGAACUGCUGAUGGAUUACCGACACUAAAAAAUUAAAAAAAAAUAUAUAUGUAACACAUUAAGAUCAGUCAGAAAUAUGUAAAUACAAAUAUGUGUAUAUAUCUAUAAAUAUGUCUAUAAUAUAUCAGUUGACUAAUUUAUCAUAAUUCUACAUACAUGUAUAUAACAAUACAUUACUUAGUACAUACUUGUCAGACGAUUUUGAAGUAUAUGUGAUUUUACAUUGUUAAAGAUGAAAAACAUUUAAUUCACCAGUAGACCUUAUGUUGAAUAGUUAAGAGUUGCUUUGAAAGAAUUUUAUGUGCAUCUGUUUUAUUUGUGCAUGUCCCGGCAUCAAUCGCAUUUUCGGCCAAGGAGGAUUUUAAACAAAAUAUAUGAUGUGGUUGCAUUUUGUCAUUUCUUCUGUUAUAUGGACAUUUUUGCUGGAAUUAAAAAGUCCAGUACAUUUUACACCAUGAAUGAUGAAAUAGCUUUAAUUAUUGAAAACCCGGCUGCGUCGAAUAUUUCUGUUCUGUUCAAUGAAAAGUUGUGUGUUGUUCUCACGGUAUGCCCCUUCCGCAAUUUUGUCCGAAGAGGUUAACAAAAUAAAUGUUGUUUCUACAAAUUUUUAUAUAAAGGUGGUCCUUUCUUUAUCCAUUGCUUGUAUGCCAUAUUUAUCUAAUUCCAUUUAAAAAUAACGGAUAGGAAUUUUAUGAAAUAAACACGGUGUUGUCUAAUAUUUUGCCAACGAAGCUUUUAACUUUCUAGUUAAGUCAAUAAACUGGCUUUUAAAUUGGUACAUAUGAACGCUAAAUAAAUUAUAUCAAAGGAAUAUAUUUAAGUUUUUACUUAAAACAAACUUAAACAUCCACAGAAAUGAAGAGGCUUAUUUGUAAGAGGGGAAAAUGUGAUUAUCCUUUCCCUGUCGAAGCGCCUCUCUGGUGUCUGAUGGAAAUUGAUACAAUAAUGUAUCUAAUACAUCUUCUCGAUAGAAAAUGAACACAUUUUUACAAUUGUAUCAUUGUUAGCCUUCGGGUGAUUUCUCUACCUGCCAUUUAAAUAAUGAAAAGUCAAUUGGUGUGUUUAAAGUGUCAGUAAUACAAGUUUCUCCGUUAAGUGUAAUUUGAAUAAGGUGUGUUUUAUAUUGCUCUCCUUUGGAUCUCGUGAGAAUGAAUUACAGAAUAAAUAUACGCAUUUAAUACAGGAAACAUUAAACCAAAGAAAAAACAUUUAAGUUUUAGGAAAAUUUGAUUUUACCUGUUGUAUUUAUAUUCAUAAGAGCCUUUACUGACCUUGUACAACGAAAAUUACUGAAUUCAAUCCGUAUAUUUUUAUACUAUGAUCUUACAUAGUGACUCAAAGCACCAGUAUGUGAUAUCGUAUGCCGCCUACCACUUACAAAUUCAAUCGAAUAAUCGCAUGGUGUCUUCUUGGAAAGCACCUUUAUUGUGGAAUAUCGUAUGUAACCAACCACUUAUCAACUGAAAAGUCCCAGUGUCUAUUUGGAAAGCACAAGCAGUGUUGGAAUAUCGUUUUUAACCUACAACUAAUUAAUUGAAAAGUCCCAGGGUCCAUUUGGAAAGCACAAACAGUGUUGGAAUAUCGUAUUCCACCUACCACUUAAUCAAUGGAGUAGUCCCAAUGUCCAUUUGGAAAGCACAAGUUAAGUUGGAAUAUCGUAUUCCACCUACCACUUAAUUAAUCGAAAAGUCCCAGUGUCCAUUUAGAAAGCACAAGUUAAGUUGGAAUAUCGUAUUCCACCAACCACUUACUAGUAAUCAAUAUCGAAAAGUCGCAAGGUCCUGUUGGAAAGCAUGUAAGCAGUGUAAGAAUAUCGUAUUCAACCUACCACUAAAUCAAUAUAGAAAAGUCGCAGGGUCCUUUUGGAAAGCAUGUAAGCAGUGUUGGAAUAUCGUAUUCAACCUACCACUAAAUCAAUAUCGAAAAGUCGCAGGGUUCUUUUGAAUAGCACAAGCAGUAUUAGAAAACUAGUAUCGUAUAUUCCACCUUAACCACUUAAUCAAUCGUGUAGUCACAGUACUUGGAGCAUUGGCAAGGGUUUCAAUCCUGAUUGUUAUGGAUAAAUAAUUGCAAAUGGCCACAAUUUUAUAUCAAGUGUUUGUUUUAGUGAUAGGCGAAGAAUGUCGACCUAACUCCCUAAAACAAUUGUGUAUUGGAAACUCAUGACUUACACAUUUUCGAAACGGGGUUUCAAAUUGGUUAAGUUUAGUUACUUGGAUUAAUUUGUUGGGAGUUUGAUAUUUGCGCCGAUUAUAAAUUUUUCGAUCAUGCAUUUGCACCGAUUAUAAUUUUUUCGAUCAUGCAUUUGCACCGAUUAUAAAUUUUUCGAUCAUGCAUUUGCAUCGAUUAUAAAUUUUUCGAUCUUGCAUUUGCGUCAAUUAUAAUUUUUUCGAUCUUGCAUUCUUUCAUUAGCGCCGAUUCUAUAUUCGCAAUGCAUUGUCAUAAGAAACGAGUGACCGGUGAAAAAUAAUGUUCUUCCAAUUCUUGAACCAAUGCAUACAAACAUCAUAAACUUAGUCUUCUGUGCACGAAUUUAUCAUUUUUUUCGUGUAAAUUUCGUAUAAUCGUCAUUUUUCUUCAACCGGUCAGUGUUGUGGUGAAAAUAUGGCAGGUAAUUUAAGUUCGUGUUUUGAAGCCGAAGUUUAACGAUUGUCACCUGUUUGACCGUGAACAAUCGACAAAAAAAAAAUCAACACUGAAAAAAGCAUGGAAAUUGAGCACGUGUUUAACAUGUAAAUUCAGAUAAUAGUUUAUUUUAAGGACAUCCAUGCGUAUUGCGAUCACCGGAUUUUAACGAGAUGGGUCACACUGAGGUCACUUUGCAUACGGAAAAUAUAUCGGGGGAAUUGCUUGCUGGAAGGAAGCAAUUAAAAUAAAGUAAACUUCUUCUAAAUAUGAAUAAAUUAAAGAAUUUUUUUUCAGAAAAAAUGUAUAUGUACAUAAGUUUUAUAAUGAAAAAUAUCCAUUGAGUUAUAAAAAAACAUAUACAUUAUUUUUUUUUAAUUUGAGGUAUCUUAUGACUUUAAAACAGGUGAGUAAAUACAUGCACUAUACCUAGUGUAACGGACUUCUGCCAGUAGGUAUAUUGGUAAAAUCUGGAUAAAAUUUUAAUGUUGUGCUUUUGAAUGCUGUAAAUAAAUUUUUAACCCGUGAUUUUAGUGGAUGUAAAUAGAGAUUGCUUUUAUCUUUUAAAUUGACUUAUCCUGCUCGAAAGCCUACUUGCACCUCCCUAUGGUGAGCAGGGGACAACAGUUGUAUACAUGUUACAAUUGACAAUUCAUAACAUAUGUACAACUGGCUAACCGAAGAGGUUUAAAAUGAUAAAAUAGAAAGAAAAAAAAAACCAUUCACCUGUACACAAUCGGCGCAAAUGAAAGAUAAAAUCGGCGCAAGUGAAAGAAAAAAUCGGCACAAACGAAUUGCAGAUCGGUGCAUAAAAAACGCCGAAUUCUUCUCAGAUAACAUUAUAUAUCACCAUCACUGUCAUAUAUCAACAGUGUUAAACUUUUGAAUUUUGUACGUUUUACUCAUUUAAGUAUAGCUUUUCUAUUUUUUUUAAAACGGAAUAAAAGUGUUCUCUCUAUUGUUUCAUAUCAUAGAGUAUUAUGGUAGAUACAAAGCAAGGAACGCAUCAUACUCGGAUUCUAAGAAAAAAACCUUGUGUUAUUUUUUUUUUUAAAUUUCAUUAUAAUUGCACUUUUAAAUUGGGUUUUCUUUUCAGAAGAGUUAACCAAUCCUUUUGUUCAUUAUAGUUCGACUUCCUUAUUUAAACAACAAUUAUAAAUAAUGACUUGCUGACUUGUUUCUAUCUUCUUCCUUCAAAUCAUAUGAUAUUGUUUAUUCUUAUACAAUACCAUUUAGUGUUCUUGGUUGCAAAUCCUUUUUCAAGAUUUAUUAGAAUAACUGACUUAGAAAUGAUUUACAUGAUAAAAUCUGGUGGUUUAAUAUAUUAUAAGAUAAAAUCUGGUGGUUUAAUAUAUUAUAAAUGGUUUGUUAUAAGCAUAUUGUUGUAUUUAAAUUAUCCCUUGCAAAAUAUUAAUCAUAAUUCAGAAACUCUUUCAUUCUGGACCAUGUUUACAUUUAUUUACCAAAAGUAAGGCAAUAUAAACCAAUAUAAGAACCCCCCCCCCCCCAAAAAAAAAAAACAAAACAAAAACAAAAACAACAAUAAAAGAAAUCAACAAAAUAAGCAGACAGACAAACAAACAAAUUAAUGAAAAUAAAAAACUGCAAACAAAAACAAUACAAUGACUUUAACCUAAAAAGUAUAUAAGAUAAAAAAAAAAAAAAGACAGAACAGAAAAUAAAUGGUUGCAAAACACAAGUGUUCUUUUUUUUAAUUUGUUUGCCUUUUGCAUGUGUUUGUUUUGUGGAAUGGCAAAGCUUGCUUAUUUAUAUUUUUGAUAGCUACUCCUUCCAUUAUAAAUACUUGUUCAUUAUGCACCUUUCCAAAUUCUGAUGUAAAUUGAGACCUCAUCAAUAUGCAUGAUUUUUAUAUUUGUUUAAGGUUGUGGACGUCACAUAGAAGUUGUUUUAGAAGAUGUACCAGUACAUGAAAGAUGUUCUUGUCCAAAGAAAAAGGCAUGUGCAAUAUCAUGACAGAGGUAACAACAUCUUUAUCUAUAGACUAUAAGGUUUGAAAUAAACCCUUUAAAUGGCAGGCAGGGUUAGUGGUUAGAAGGAGGCACAGAAAGACUUAAAAUUGAAAUGCUUCUCCAUAUUUUAUCCUCAGCCUCUUACAAAGUAAUAAUUAUUCUUUAUGAUAUAUGUACAAGUUAUCUUUGUAUUCUAUGAAAACCUGAAACAUGUCAAGUAGCAUGUAGUUUGCAAGAUUCUGAUAUAGUUUAAAACUAAAACUAAAGAUUUCUAUAUCCAUGAUGUAGGACCCGUUCAUAAAUUUAAAGAAAAUAGACAACAGGUACCCGUACCCUUUUCUUUUCUAUAGCAGUUUAAACCUGUGCUAGCAACAGUCUUAAAUUUCCAGUGAGGUGAAAGUUUUUUUAACCGGAUUUUUGUGACAAAAAUGUCGGUUAUUGAUUUGGGGAUGUACGGCGGGCGGGCGGCAAUCAAAUGUUGUCCGUGCAUUAACUCAUGAACCGUUCAACCAAAGCUUUUAAAAUUUUAAUAUGUUGUUACUGACAACUAAAUGAAGGUCAAGUUCAAUAAUGGCGAUUUUGACUUUUACCGUUCAGGAGUUAUGGUUCUUGAAAGAUUGAAAAAUGGAGUUUCCAGUCGUGUCUGUGCAUUUACGCAUGAACUGUUCUACCAAAGCUUCCCAAAUUUUAAUAUGUUGUUACUGAUGACAAAAUGGAGGUCAAGUUCAAUAAUGACGAUUUUGACUUUUACGGUUCAGGAGUUAUGGUUCUUGAAAGAUUGAAAAAUGGAGUUUUCAGUCGUGUCCGUACAUUUACGCAUGAACUGUUCUACCAAAGCUUCCCAAAUUUUAAUAUAUUGUUACUGAUGACAAAAUGGAGGUCAAGUUCAAUAAUGACGAUUUUGACUUUUACCGUUCAGGAGUGAUGGUUCUUGAAAGAUUGAAAAAUGGUGUUUCCAGUCGUGUCCGUGCAUUUUCUCAUAAACCAUUCAACCAAAGCUUUUGAAAUUUUUAUAUGUUGUUACUGAUGACAAAAUAGAGGUCAAGUUCAAUAAUGACGAUUUUGACUUUUACCGUUCAGGAGUUAUGGUUCUUGAAAGAUCGUAAAAUGGCGUUUCCAUUCACGUUGUUGCAUUUACUAAGGCAGCAACCAUUUGAUUUUCUGGGGGGGGGCUAUGGUUUUUUUUGGAAAAAAAAGUUUGUUUCCAGUUUUUGGAGAAAAAAAUAAUUUGUUUUUCAUUCUGAGAAAAAAAAAUUGUUUGUUUCACCCUCAGCUGCCACUAUAUGUAAUGCUAAAAUUGAAAGAAAAAAAUUGUUUUCGACUUGUCGCAAAAAAAAUAGAUUGUUUUUCGCCGCAGGCGAAAAAAAAGUUUGUACAGAAAAAAAAACCAUAGCCCCCCCCCCCCCAGAAAAUCAAAUGGUUGCUGCCUAAUGAACCAUUCAAUCUAAGCUUUUCAAAUUUUAAUAUGUUGAUACUGACUACAAAAUGGAGGUCAAAUUUGAUAUUGACGAUUUUCACUUUCAGCAUUCAUUAGUUAUAGUUCUUGUGAUAUUGCCAGGACACAAAUAAAUGUUAAUAAAUCCGGUUUGCUGUCGUUGUGACAGCUCUUGUUUUUGUUUAGUGUUGAGGGCCUCACUUUGACUUUGAGAUGAAGAACAGCAAUUAAAGCACUGUUCCUGUGCAUUUUUUUGUUUUUUUUUUGCUGUUGAUGUACUCAUUUAGUGUCCUGGAUAUAUACCCUAUAUUCUCUGAAAUUCUAUUAAUUGUUUGUAGCUUGAGAAGUAAUUUAUUACACCUUUUUCAGAAGUGUUCAUAGAUGUAUUUCUGUUUGCCUGGGCUAGGCUAGAGUGUUUUCACUCAACAAAUAUUACCAGGUAUCAAUGAGACUUGUUUGGCGACUAUUCUUUCACAAAGGCUUAUAUUUUAAGAAUUAUCAAUUUAUGAUUGGGCUAAUAUCUUCUUGAUGUUUUUACAUAGCUUCAUUUUGAGAUUGACAAUAAAGUUUUAUAUAAGAUGUUUUAACAAAUAUUUACAUGUUAAUUGGGAAAAUUGAUGCUCACAUUUAAUUUUAUCAAAACCUAUGUGAAACAAGACCCUGUUUUACAUAAAACAAUUAGUUACAUAUGUCAAUUUUGACAAGGAAAUGAUUAGAAAUUGACAUUCCAAUUAUAAAAGUUAUUUCUCCAUUAAUGGGACCAUACUAUAUCAUCCUAUGCAUUUAUCUUCAAGGGUAAACAAUCACAAACAAAGGAAGAUAACUCAAAUUUUAACUUGUCUAUCAAAAUACAAUGCAAUGUUUUUAUUAAAAAUUUUACAAAAUUGCAAAAUGAAAGCAAUCUUUACCCUCAGUGCUUCGAUUAAUUUAUUUUAUCAUCCCUGUUUUCUCAUUAAAGUCAUAUGAAACGAGUGACUGGUGAAAAAUAAUGUUUAUACAAUUCUUGAACCAAUGCAUUUAUAUAUGAUAAACUUUGUCUUUUGUGCACGAUUUAAUCAUUUUUUGCGCAAACACGAUUUUUUUUCUCUCUCUGUCUGUUAUUAUGUGAAAACAUGGCAGGUAAUUAAUUAUUGUGUUUUGAAACUGUAAUUUACCGAUUGUCACCUUAUAGUAAACAAUCAACAAAAGAAGCAUGGAUAUUGAGCACAUGAAUAACAUGUAUAAUCAGAUAAUAAUUUAUUUUAAUGACAGACCCAUGGGUACUGCAAUCACCGGAUUCUUACGAGAAGGGUCACGCUAAGGUCACUUGCAUAUACGGAAAAUAUGUCGGCGAAUUGCUUCCUUGGAAGCAAGCAAUUGAAAUAAGUAAACUUCUUCUAAAUGUGGACAAUUUUCUGAAGAAUUUUCUCCAGAAAAAAGUAUAUGUACAUAAGUUUUAUAAUGGAAACUAUCCAUUUAGUUAUAAAAAACAUAUGCAUCAUUUUUUUUUUUAAUUUGAGGUUUCAUAUGACUUUAAGAUGCUUAUUCACUGAUUUGUAUUUUUGUAGGCUACAUCUGUGAAGAUGAUGUAAAUAUUUAGAAGAGUAAUGUGAAUCUCAGAACAUGCAGCAUUUUAGAUUUAGUCAAGACAUUAUUUGGUGCAUUUUCUUUUUAUGUGAUUAUGAAGUGUAAAUACUGUUACUUUUAGUUCAUGUUUAAAUUAUUUUGUUUGUUAAAGAUAAUUUUAUGCUAGAGUAAGUGCUUUUUUUUCACUAUAUAUUGACCAUUUGACUUUUGCAAGUUUUAACAUGUGUAUAGAUGACAUCAAACGUAUUUAAAAAUGUUUUUUUCUGAUUUGGUACACAGAUAGAGAUUCCAAAAAAAUUGGCAAUAAUAGAUCAAUGGAACCAACAACAGUUGAUCCACUUAGUUACAAUUUAACAGCAUCAUUGCAAGCACAGUUUAAGUAAUUAACAUCAGUAAAACACUAAAAUUUUCAUAGAAAUUAUCUAUGUUUGUCACAAUGUUUGUCACAUUUUGCUGGAACCUUCAUUCCAUGUCCAAGCAAAAUUAAUUUCUUUGAAAAAGAAAUAAAAGGCAAAUUGAACUUUAUAAAAAAAAAAUUCCACCGACUGUGCAAGAACCUUAUAGGUAGUCAAGGUCUUGUUUGAGAAUUAAAAUAUAUUUAUCUUGUUUGAGAAUGUAUAAUGUAUUAACACUAGUUGUGACAAUACUUCCUGCUAUCAAAUACUCUUUGUAUGAAAUUUUAUAUUUUACAUCAAUGUAUGCGUGUAUAGUUUGGUUUUUUACAUUUGUGUUCAUAUUUAUAAUAGCUUGCAUCAUUUUUACUCAAGUUUGUGCUUUAUUCAGAAUCCAUUAAGGGAUUUUAAAAAGUUGAAGUGGAGGGAGUGGAGGGUUGGACAUUACUGAUGUUUUUUUCUUUUGGCAAUAGUGACGGAAGCAAAAAACAAUCUGUCAUAAAAAAAGAUUGCUGCUUACCAUAGUGUUUUUUAAAUGUUUGAUAAAACCACAUACAUUUUUUCUGUAAUAUCCCAAAUUUUUGUAAAAACUUGUAUUAAACUGCAGAUACUGUUUAAGCAAUAUAAGAAAUCAUUUUUGGGUAAACUUUGUUUUUUAUUGUUUUAAAAGAGGUAUGUUGAUAUUUAUGUUGUAAGUAAAAUGACAUUUAAAAGAAUCUCAUUGCAUCUCAGGGGGAGGCAACUCUAAAACAUUUGUCUUUGUCUGCCAUGUUUUAUGUAUAUUAUAUUUGUUUCAUGUUUUCAUUGAUGUUAUUUCCAAAGUGUUCAAUAAAUGUAUUGUACUAAUUUAUUUCCUUAGAGAAAAUAACUCUAUCUAAUUAAACCACCAUAAAAGAUACACCAAAAUAUUUGCAAAACAUGAUCUUUUUCCAAUUGUUCCAAAAGACAGUGUAUACUUUUUUUAGCAAACAUCUUUGUUAUUUCAAUUGUAUGCAUUGUCACAGUAUAAAUCAUAAUGGUAUACUUAUUAGUUACAUCAUGAUCUGUUUUACUUUAGGAAAAGUAAAUUUUUGAAAUAAUUCAUAACCUUCUAGUGCAUUGUAAACUGAAAUCACUUUUUAGAGGUACAUGUAAUAUCCAUGUCUAUAAGACCUUAAAAAGACAAUACAGUGUUGUUUGUUGAAAAUGGACCAUAAAUUAUAUCAACAACUUACCAUAAAUGUGCAGCACAUUAUUGAAUAUUAAAAUGAACCAAUUUACAUUUUAUUAUGAUAUUAUUACGUAAGUAUUUCUGUAUUGGCCUUGUUAUUGGUCCGAGGCUUGCUGUAUUGGCCUGAGGCGAAU